ACGGGAGGCAGCAGUGAGGAAUAUUGGUCAAUGGACGAGAGUCUGAACCAGCCAAGUAGCGUGCAGGAUGACGGCCCUAUGGGUUGUAAACUGCUUUUAACCGGGAAUAACGGUCACUACGCGUAGUGAUGUGCAUGUACCGGUUGAAUAAGGAUCGGCUAACUCCGUGCCAGCAGCCGCGGUAAUACGGAGGAUCCGAGCGUUAUCCGGAUUUAUUGGGUUUAAAGGGAGCGUAGGCGGGAUGUCAAGUCAGCUGUGAAAUGUAGUCGCUCAACGUCUGCACUGCAGUUGAAACUGGUGUUCUUGAGUGCGUAAGAGGCAGGUGGAAUUCGUCGUGUAGCGGUGAAAUGCUUAGAUAUGACGAAGAACUCCGAUUGCGAAGGCAGCCUGCUGGGCCGCAACUGACGCUGAAGCUCGAAGGUGCGGGUAUCAAACAGGAUUAGAUACCCUGGUA
This 454-nucleotide ribosomal RNA is filed under the name uncultured bacterium. Its description in RNAcentral is "partial 16S ribosomal RNA". It matches the Rfam family "Bacterial small subunit ribosomal RNA", at positions 341 to 792 of the family's 1533-position model. RNAcentral also lists the same sequence under 1 other name. The record is from RNAcentral.